AGCAGCCGCGGUAAUUCCAGCUCCAAUAGCGUAUAUUAAAGUUGUUGCAGUUAAAAAGCUCGUAGUUGAACUUCGGGGUUUACCCAUUGGUCAGGCUUAAUUGUCUGUACUGGUGAGAUAAAUCUCUACCUUCUGAGGAACUUUCAUGUCAUUAAUUUGGUGUGAUUGGAAAUCAGGACUGUUACUUUGAAAAAUUGAGUGUUUAAAGCAGGCUAACGUCUGAAUACAUUAGCAUGGAAUAAUGAAAUAGGACGGACUGAUUCUAUUUCGUUGGUUUCUAGGAUCACCGUAAUGAUUAAUAGGGAUAGUUGGGGGCAUUAGUAUUCAAUUGUCAGAGGUGAAAUUCUUGGAUUUAUUGAAGACUAACUACUGCGAAAGCAUUUGCCAAGGAUGUUUUCAUUAAUCAAGAACGAAAGUUAGGGGGUCGAAGACGAUCAGAUACCGUCGUAGUCUUAACCAUAAACUAUGCCGACUAGGGAUCGGAACGAAGUUAAUUUAUAAUGACGCGUUCGCUACCUUA
This 520-nucleotide ribosomal RNA is filed under the name uncultured Glomeromycotina. RNAcentral's name for it is "SSU rRNA". It matches the Rfam family "Eukaryotic small subunit ribosomal RNA", at positions 569 to 1090 of the family's 1831-position model. The record is from RNAcentral. Lineage: Eukaryota; Fungi; Glomeromycota.